UAAAUUCGGUUUGGAUUAAAAUAUUUUGUAUCAAGGAUCAGUCCAGCAUCAAUCAAGGAUAUCAUACAUCAAAAUCAUUUUGCAAAUAUCGAAAUUCACCCCAUAAACCAACAAAUUUUAGAAAGAACCUUUUCAAUGUCAUUGACCAAAAAAACCUAAGACAAAAAACCUUCGAAUGCACCAAAUAAGACCACACCAAAUAACCAAGUAAAACCGAGUACUCAUCUAGUAAACUAAUAUAUAAAUAGGGUCUAUGAAUGAAGUACGAUCUCUUUAGCUAAUUAGGGGCUACUUCGAUCUCUGAAGCACAGAAAAGUGGAGUGUAGAGUCAAU
Molecule: long non-coding RNA, 333 nt
Filed under: Capsella rubella
Lineage: Eukaryota; Viridiplantae; Streptophyta; Magnoliopsida; Brassicales; Brassicaceae
Description: long non-coding RNA (CRUB_LNC004505)
Source: RNAcentral